GGACUACCGGGGUUUCUAAUCCUGUUCGCUCCCCACGCUUUCGCUCCUCAGCGUCAGUUCCGGCCCAGCCCACCGCCUUCGCCACCGGUGUUCUUCCUGAUAUCUGCGCAUUUCACCGCUACACCAGGAGUUCCGUGGGCCCCUACCGGACUCUAGCCAUGGCAGUAUCGGGUGGCAUCUCCAAGUUGAGCCUGGAGGUUUCACACCCGACUAACCAAGCCGCCUACGAGCUCUUUACGCCCAAUAAUUCCGGACAACGCUUGCCCCCUACGUAUUACCGCGGCUGCUGGCAC
Molecule: ribosomal RNA, 293 nt
Filed under: uncultured bacterium
Lineage: Bacteria
Description: partial 16S ribosomal RNA
Source: RNAcentral